This 350-nucleotide unclassified non-coding RNA is filed under the name soil metagenome. Its description in RNAcentral is "partial contains 5.8S ribosomal RNA, internal transcribed spacer 2, and large subunit ribosomal RNA". The stretch from base 1 to 120 matches the Rfam family "5.8S ribosomal RNA", at positions 35 to 154 of the family's 154-position model. The record is from RNAcentral.
GAUGAAGAACGCAGCGAACUGCGAUAAGUAAUGUGAAUUGCAGAAUUCAGUGAAUCAUCGAGUCUUUGAACGCACAUUGCGCCCCCUGGCAUUCCGGGGGGCAUGCCUGUCCGAGCGUCAUUGCUGCCCUUCAAGCCCGGCUUGUGUGUUGGGUCGUCGUCCCCCCCGGGGGACGGGCCCGAAAGGCAGCGGCGGCACCGCGUCCGGUCCUCGAGCGUAUGGGGCUUUGUCACCCGCUCGAUUAGGGCCGGCCGGGCUCCAGCCGGCGUCUCCAACCUUCUAUUUUACCAGGUUGACCUCGGAUCAGGUAGGGAUACCCGCUGAACUUAAGCAUAUCAAUAAGCGGAGGA